UACGAAGGGUGCAAGCGUUAAUCGGAAUUACUGGGCGUAAAGCGUGCGUAGACGGCUUGUUAAGUCUGCUGUGAAAGCCCUGGGCUCAACCUGGGAACUGCAGUGGAUACUGGCAAGCUAGAGUGCGGUAGAGGAUGGUGGAAUUCCCGGUGUAGCGGUGGAAUGCGUAGAGAUCGGGAGGAACAUCAGUGGCGAAGGCGGCCAUCUGGACCAGCACUGACGUUGAGGCACGAAAGCGUGGGGAGCAAACAGG
This 253-nucleotide ribosomal RNA is filed under the name uncultured bacterium. RNAcentral's name for it is "partial 16S ribosomal RNA". It matches the Rfam family "Bacterial small subunit ribosomal RNA", at positions 524 to 776 of the family's 1533-position model. The record is from RNAcentral.